GGUCCAGUUUGGCCAACCAGACGGAUUCCUGUAGGAGAUCCCGAAGGCAAUGUAUGCCUUCCAUUUGGAAGUGCUGGUACUGAAGGAAGGCAUUGAGGGGGCAGAGGUUGAUGACGGAACGCACACCACCUCCUUUCUUCGGGACCAAAAAGAGGUUGCUCGUAAACCCUGGCUGAGUGAACGGGACCUCUUGUAUCGCCCCCUUGGCGUAAAGUUCCACGAUCUCCGAGGAGAUCAAUUCUUCCUGAUCUCGAGCGAGAGACAGUUCCCUGGGGAUAGAAAGCUGA
RNAcentral lists this long non-coding RNA (287 nucleotides) under Pelobates cultripes (western spadefoot toad). The record is from RNAcentral. Lineage: Eukaryota; Metazoa; Chordata; Amphibia; Anura; Pelobatidae.